GACGAACGCUGGCGGCGUGCCUAAUACAUGCAAGUAGAACGCACAGUUUAUACCGUAGCUUGCUCCACCAUAGACUGUGAGUUGCGAACGGGUGAGUAACGCGUAGGUAACCUGCCUGGUAGCGGGGGAUAACUAUUGGAAACGAUAGCUAAUACCGCAUAAUAUUGAUUAUUGCAUGAUAAUUGAUUGAAAGAUGCUAUUGCAUCACUACCAGAUGGACCUGCGUUGUAUUAGCUAGUAGGUGAGGUAACGGCUCACCUAGGCGACGAUACAUAGCCGACCUGAGAGGGUGAUCGGCCACACUGGGACUGAGACACGGCCCAGACUCCUACGGGAGGCAGCAGUAGGGAAUCUUCGGCAAUGGACGAAAGUCUGACCGAGCAACGCCGCGUGAGUGAAGAAGGUUUUCGGAUCGUAAAGAUCUGUUGUAAGAGAAGAACGGGUGUGAGAGUGGAAAGUUCACACUGUGACGGUAUCUUACCAGAAAGGGACGGCUAACUACGUG
RNAcentral lists this ribosomal RNA (505 nucleotides) under uncultured bacterium. RNAcentral describes it as "partial 16S ribosomal RNA". It matches the Rfam family "Bacterial small subunit ribosomal RNA", at positions 28 to 507 of the family's 1533-position model. The record is from RNAcentral.